GUGGGGAAUAUUGGACAAUGGGCGAAAGCCUGAUCCAGCCAUGCCGCGUGUGUGAAGAAGGUCUUCGGAUUGUAAAGCACUUUAAGUUGGGAGGAAGGGCAGUAAGUUAAUACCUUGCUGUUUUGACGUUACCGACAGAAUAAGCACCGGCCAACUUCGUGCCAGCAGCCGCGGUAAUACGAAGGGUGCAAGCGUUAAUCGGAAUUACUGGGCGUAAAGCGCGCGUAGGUGGUUUUGUAAGUUGGAGGUGAAAUCCCCGGGCUCAACCUGGGAACUGCCUCCAAAACUGCAUGACUAGAGUACGGUAGAGGGUAGUGGAAUUUCCUGUGUAGCGGUGAAAUGCGUAGAUAUAGGAAGGAACACCAGUGGCGAAGGCGACUACCUGGACUGAUACUGACACUGAGGUGCGAAAGCGUGGGGAGCAAACAGGAUUAGAUACCCGUGUAGUCC
RNAcentral lists this ribosomal RNA (450 nucleotides) under uncultured bacterium. RNAcentral describes it as "bacterial SSU rRNA". It matches the Rfam family "Bacterial small subunit ribosomal RNA", at positions 354 to 796 of the family's 1533-position model. The record is from RNAcentral.